UUUGGGAGUGCUCGCAAGACGAACCGGAACACAGGUGCUGCAUGGCUGUCGUCAGCUCGUGUCGUGAGAUGUUGGGUUAAGUCCCGCAACGAGCGCAACCCUUGUCAUUAGUUGCCAUCAUUUGGUUGGGCACUCUAAUGAGACUGCCGGUGACAAACCGGAGGAAGGUGGGGAUGACGUCAAGUCCUCAUGGCCCUUAUGGGUAGGGCUUCACACGUCAUACAAUGGUCGGUACAGAGGGUUGCCAACCCGCGAGGGGGAGCUAAUCCCACAAAGCCGAUCGUAGUCCGGAUCGCAGUCUGCAACUCGACUGCGUGAAGUCGGAAUCGCUAGUAAUCGUGGAUCAGCAUGUCACGGUGAAUACGUUCCCGGGUCUU
RNAcentral lists this ribosomal RNA (377 nucleotides) under uncultured Rhodocyclaceae bacterium. RNAcentral's name for it is "bacterial SSU rRNA". It matches the Rfam family "Bacterial small subunit ribosomal RNA", at positions 1005 to 1382 of the family's 1533-position model. Lineage: Bacteria; Pseudomonadati; Pseudomonadota; Betaproteobacteria; Rhodocyclales; Rhodocyclaceae. The record is from RNAcentral.